This is a long non-coding RNA of Aedes albopictus (Asian tiger mosquito), 5362 nucleotides long. RefSeq lists it as uncharacterized. The record is from RefSeq and is a predicted model, not a curated record. Lineage: Eukaryota; Metazoa; Arthropoda; Insecta; Diptera; Culicidae. The transcript is spliced from 2 exons.
AGACAAACAGACGUAACACUUCGAACAUUUGUCGAUUCAAAUCAUUGUCACGGAAACAUUCGCCCAAUGCUAAAAGGACUAUGUUUGGCCGACCACCAACUAGGUGGCGGUAGUGAGCAAACGUCAAACUCGAACAAAAACUAUGCGAGCGCCACGGUUGGGCAGUUGGCCAACUAUCAAAUUUUGAAAAAACCGUUAAAUCGGUGUACGAUGGGAUUUAUCAGAGUGUUACGUCUGUUUGUCUGCUAUUCAACACUGCAAAAACUGAAUAAAUGCAAUGUACAAACUAGAAAAUGCAUUGUUGCUCUAACACAGUGAUCACCAAAGUGCAGCCCGCGGGCCGCACGUGACGCCGAGUUCUCUAUGUUGCCGUAGAAUUUCUUAAAAUGUUUCUUAAGGAGGUUGUUCUACUCCCAAAAUAACCUAGAAUAACGUGUUGAAUGUUUCACAAAUGGUUCUAGGAAGUGCAAUACAAACAGUUGAAAAAAUAGGCUUGAGGAUCGCUGCUCUAACACAUGUUGCUCUAGCAAUACAAUUAUAAAAACUUGACUCUAAUGGUAUAAGCAAACGAAAUCAAGAAGAGUGAACAACUUUACGAUCAACUCUAGCGGUUUUCAACACUUCUGGUUCGACUCCCGACCAGCUUUAUCCCCGUUUGAACCACCGAUCGACGACUUUCUUAAGCAAAAUCGUUUUAAAGAUGACCUUUUCUCUUUUCUGUUGACUGCCAUCACAUCCCGAUAAUGAUGGAAACCACAAUUUGCAUAAUGAGUAGUGUGCGAAGGGUGUUUUAGUUUUCUUAUACAUAUUGAUGAAAUAUCUUCUAAAAUGCAUAAUGAGUUUAUCAAUGAUUUAUCAGAAUGUGAUUGAAGGGGUCUAUUACACAUGACAUAGUCAGUCGUUUUGCCCUCUACUGCAAUGAUUGAGACAGAAGAACAGUUUCCUUUUAGUUAAUGAAAUAUCUGUUGUUAUCGCUGCAGCAGAAAUAGUCCAAGGCAUAAGCGCGUAUGAAACUCAUCUAGCGGUCUUCAGCGGUCUUCUGGUUCGACUCCCGACCCGGCAACAAAAACAUAAUGGUUACAACAUUCAUGUGAUGGGGCAUUAGUACCGUCGAUAACAAAACGGUGCUAAGAAUAGAUUUUUGUUUUGGUUUUUCGUGUUGGUUUAAGGAUGUGCAAAUGCAAAUCCACAGCACAUGCAUUUAUGUUACUUUAGCAAUGGCUGUCAACGUGUUGCAAUAUGUGGCACUAAUUUGAUUUUAGUGGGGCCGUGGAGCCCUUUUCGACUUUAAUAUUGCUUCAAUGAGGUGUUUAAAGUAAUGCAGCUUUAUAUUCACAAUUUUAUACAUCACUAUAUGGCAAAAUUGAUGCAAUUAUAUACGGCUUCGUCGUUACUUGGGAAGUGCGAUUAAAAUCAGCGUCACAAAAGUAUAAUCGCCCAAUGCUAAUUACGCUGUGUUUCGCAAACUUACUGAGUAGAUGGCGGUAGUGACCAAACGUCAAACAGGAGGAAAAACGAUGCGAGCGCCAUGAGUGAGAAAUUUGCGAACUAUAAAGAAUAUUUGAAUGAUCCGUUAAAAAGGGAAACGAUGGGAAGUGGAUAGAGUGAGACGUCUGUUUGUCUGUGCCCAUAAUAUGAACUGUGUAGCUCAGCUCAUUUCAACCCAUAAUUUGAUUAUUUCUUAAAAUAUUUACCAAAUCUAUAAUUUUACAAUAAGUUUGAGCUAAUUUUCAAAUUUUGAGUCAUUUUUGAGGUCAUUUGGCCGAAUGCCAUUUGACCGAAAAAUGAAUGAUGAACUUAAGUGGCCAUACUACUAUUCCCCGUCUCAGUAUAACUCGAAAGAACAGCCUAUGAUUCAAAGAAGGAAAAAUCUUUGAUAAAAUAUUUGACAGUUUCAACGCCAACUAGGUAAUCCCUGAAUAUAAAAGCUGGAAAGGCCUAUGAUUAAUAGAAGCAGAGCCGGAUUUAAGGGGGGCCAGGGCCCCGGGCCCCCACAUUUCUGGGGCCCCCACAAAAUUUCACUUCACAAAAAAUGUGAUGCAAGAAAAAACACUAGUGCAAGACACUUCUCUUAUGGUUAGAUUUUUGUCAUUAGAACUUCAAGCAACUGUGAUAUGUUGUGAUUCGUUUCAGCAAGACUGCAACUAUUUGUCCAGCUAUUUGUGAAAUUAUAAAUUGUUUUCUUAAAACUUUUUACAUUUAUUUUUAUUUGUGCAAUUGCUCAAGAUACAUUACCAGAAAUCAUGUAGAAAAUAUUCGACUGAAUUCUAGAUAAACACCAAAUCUCCAUUGGCGUAAAUAAUUAUUAAGGGGUGGCCAGGGGGCCUGGCCCCCUCCAGAAUCACGAGAUUCAGGCAAUAAGAAUAUUUGGAGCAGUUCUGGAGUAUAAAAAUCUAUACCGACAUGACCAUGGCCCUCCCUAGACUUAUGACCAAGUUACGCUUAAGCAAAACUCUGUAAAUUGAAAAGUCAAAAAGUUCCUGCUGAAUAAGUUUGUUUUUUUCUUGGUUUUUGAAAACAUUUUUAAGAAUUUACCACAGAGUUUUUAGAGGAAUUGAAAGAUUUUUUUUCGAAAUUUAGAAGUAUUUUUGGAAUACUAGAGUUUGAUUUUACUCAAAUCGGAGAACACCAAAACUGCUGCAACAUUUUCUGGAGGUUAUCUAGCUAGAAUAUAAGGCAGAUUGUUUUGAAUAAUUUCAGUCCAAAUUUCAUGAGUUGAGAGAUUUGCUUACUGAAAUUAGGAUGAAUCGUUGGUGAACUUCUGAUAACAUCAAUAGAUUCCUUGAGAACAUUAUAGAAUAAAUUUGUGGAGAAAUUGGCUAAUCAUUUGUCCAGGUUUUCGGCAAAAGAUUCUCAAGUUCAAUAAUAUAUUAUAUCCGUAACUACAUUAUGAAUUUAUCAUGGAUUCUCGGUAAAAUUUCUUCAAAUUUUUUAAUAAUCCUUUUGAUUUCAAAGUUAAGUUGAAAUUUCUUUUGGGAGGUCGCCAGGAGUCCAGCAGUAACAUUAGAACAAAUUUUUGUUAAGUUUUCAUACUUUAUGUUAUCGACCAGCAACUUCAUCAGAGAUUGCAGCAGAAAUUCCCGAGAAAUUCUCUUUGAAUUUCACAAAAGCGACAAUACCGAACGCGCUACAAAUUAUACUUGAUUCCUCGAAAAUUUCAGCUAUAAAUUCAUCUUGCAGUUUCUAUGUGAAUGUGCAGUUUCUAGCAUGAAUUUUACUAAAUCUGGGAUCUAAUGAUGUGAGCACACUGGCAAAAAGCAUGUUUCACUUUAUGUAAAUUUAUUUCAUCAUUGUUUUUAGCGUGGAAACAAAAAAAAAAUGAAAUCAAUUAUGAAUAUAUUUAGUGAAUAUCAUCUUCUUUUGCUCUUUAUUCAAAUUGUUUCACAACUACAGUAAUAUCUUCAUUGAUACAUUUUAAUCAGAAUUGUUGAUGUUUUUUUUUAAUUUUUCCCAUGUUAUAUAUGCAAAAACAUAUCCUCUAUACAGAGGGGCCCCCAUAACACUGUGGCCCCGGGCCCCCACAUUUGUAAAUCCGGCCCUGAAUAGAAGGAAAUACUUCUGAUGAUCAUAUUGGCAGUUAGAAUGUCGAAAACUUCCUCUGAAUUCUUUUGAUCAUGAUUCGGCCAAAUGACCCUUUCGGUCAGAUGGCAUUCAGCCAAACGACAUUUGGCCAAAUGGCCGGACACCCAAAAAAAUACCAGGCGCCUGUUGUAGUAGUCCCAAUAGGGUCCUAAAAUUAAAGACAAAAUCUCGCUUUUAUUGAAUAAUACGAUCAAGCAUGAUAUUCUAAUCGGAAUUGUACUUUACUCGAACUUGAAAAACAAAGGAAUAAUGAGAAAAUUCGAAAUAAGUAAAAUGGUAAAUAGUUCUACUUUGACAUUUGAGGUCAACCUUGUGUGACUGAGCUCGACAUUUUUCGCACUGGGAUUUCAAAAAUGUUUUAUCUGACAUACACGGUGAAAAAAAAUCAUUCAAAGUAUGUGUUAUAAGCUAGAGACAAAAGACUAAAAAAAUAAAAAUUAUAUAUUUUUAACUACGGUUAAUAAAAACGUCAAAAAAUGAGUAAAUAUGUACUCUUGAACCAUAUAUUGUGGUUUAAAACAAGAAUCCCGGUAGGACUUUAGGAGCCUAUUGGGUUGUUUAAUGAAUAAAAUAUUGCUAUUUUCUAUAGCCUAAUCGAAAGAGCUCAUUUUUCUGAGUAUUACGUGAUUUUAUUGGUUUAUUUUGAUGGUCAAAUUAACAAAACAGUUUUAAAUUUCGUGGAUACAAUGACAGUUCAAAGUUCAAUCGAUAAAAUGACAGUUCGACCCGAACAAAAAAAAUCCCCAUACAAACUUUAAAUGCAAUUUAAAAAUAGUUCCCGGACUCCAAAAAUUAUGAAAUAUUGGAUUUGUAUUUGUAAUUUGACACUAAACCACAUAACAUUAUCUGCAAUAUUAGGAUUAGGUACCGUUUCAGUAAUUAGAAUCCUUUGUAUUUUUAUAUGUUUACUUUCCUUGACCUGAUAAACAGUGUAAACUAGCAGGCUACCGUUAAUAAAGUUACAAUUACAGUUACAAUUUAGACUAAUUUUGGGGCGGGGAAUCCGAUUAUGAAAUAAUCCGGAUACCCCUAAAGAACCCAAUUUCGCGUAAACCAAAAAAAAAAAAAAGUUCGAAAUAAAUUGUUAUGAAACAGAAACAAAAAACACAAACAGUAAAUGGCAAUAUAGUUGCCACUGCCUUAUAAAGGGUUAAGAAACAAAUUUUGAAAUAUUUAUAAUUGUCAAUAUGUAUUAGUCUUGACCCUAGUACGAUGCUUGGAUCAAUAUGACCCACAGGCUCGCUGAACGUGCACUACGCCAUAAUAGUGCGCCUAGCUCAACCUCUUAGGAUUAGCUGAUUGGCAAGUAUAUCAGGCAGUUUCCUUGACCUCAUUUAAAGUGUAUACUGGCAAGUUAUCGUUUUUAAUAAAAUUACAAAUUAUCAACCCAAACAACAGCAUAUUUUCUCUACGUUUAAAGUAGACCUAGUAGAGAAAUCCGUCCACUUCAGUGCCACCUCGAACACAAAAAUGUCAGGAAAUUCUGGAAUCCCGAUGUCGUUUUCCUUUACGUUUUGCGCCGAAGAAGCACUGAAUUUUGCUGAGAUAUUCACCAUCGGAGAACAAGAAGCCCAGCACCAGAAACAAGUUGUUCUUUCUGAAGAAAUAUAUUUAAAACCACCGUCCUGAAGUGAAACCGUUGGUUCCAAACAUAUCUCUCCCAACCAGGGGUUAUUUGAAUAUUUUGUAUCGCGUUUGAACUUUCUUAAAAAUACGAUCUUCACUUAAAUUCACCACAGUUCCAUCCCCUUCAUCACCAUCAUCAGCCGCUUACUUCUUG